RNAcentral lists this ribosomal RNA (327 nucleotides) under uncultured bacterium. RNAcentral describes it as "bacterial SSU rRNA". It matches the Rfam family "Bacterial small subunit ribosomal RNA", at positions 28 to 329 of the family's 1533-position model. The record is from RNAcentral.
GAUGAACGCUGGCGGCAUGCCUAAGACAUGCAAGUCGAACGAGGAGACCUUUGGAAGAUGGAGUGCUUGCACAAAGUUAGAAGAAGAUUAUCUCCUAGUGGCAGACGGGUGAGUAACACGUGGGUAACCUACCUUUAAGCUGGGGAUAACAGUUGGAAACGAUUGCUAAUACCGAAUGUGAUCUACGGAUUAAAGAAGCCUUUAAAGCUUCGCUUGAAGAUGGGCCUGCGGUGCAUUAGCAGUUGGUGAGGUAAACGGCCCACCAAAGGCGACGAUUGCAUAGCCGAACUGAGAGGUUAAAUCGGCCACAUUGGGACUGAGACACGG